UUUUUAGCGGCGGACGGGUGAGCAACGUGUGGGUAACCUGCCUUUUACUGGGGAAUAAUCACUGGAAACGGUGACUAAUACCGCAUACGGUUCUUGGAAGGCAUCUUCUAGGAAAGAAAGGAUUUAUUCGGUAAAAGAUGGGCCCGCAUCUGAUUAGCUAGUUGGUGAGAUAACAGCCCACCAAGGCGACGAUCAGUAGCCGACCUGAGAGGGUGACCGGCCACAUUGGGACUGAGACACGGCCCAAACUCCUACGGAAGGCAGCAG
Molecule: ribosomal RNA, 267 nt
Filed under: uncultured bacterium
Lineage: Bacteria
Description: partial 16S ribosomal RNA
Rfam family: Bacterial small subunit ribosomal RNA
Source: RNAcentral